This 7951-nucleotide long non-coding RNA is filed under the name Vigna radiata. Its description in RNAcentral is "long non-coding RNA (VRAD_LNC001649)". Lineage: Eukaryota; Viridiplantae; Streptophyta; Magnoliopsida; Fabales; Fabaceae. The record is from RNAcentral.
UUUAGGGCCAGCGAAUCAGUGAAGCUUGUCAUGUACCUCCAUAUUUCAACUUGCCCUAGAAGUGACUCUUCCUCCUCAUUGCUCAAACCCUGAUCACAAAUAUACCACACAGAUGUUAUUAUGUAAAAAUCUAAUACUAGCUCAUGCACAAUCCUUUCAAAUUUACAUCCUUUUCUUCUAUAGAUUAAUAAAUUUACGUGCAUGUAAUAAGACUCACAAUGAAUGAGAUUUACGUAUGCAUGCAGUCUUUCAAAAUAAGAACAUAUCACAUAUUACCAUAUUUCUUCUGUCUGCAUAUUCACGUAAUAGAAUUGAAAUUAUUAAAGGUUGGAUGAAUUGUGUUCUUUUCUUUAUCUGUGUUCAUGUUAUAUUGAUAGAGUACACCAAGAAAAAGUGUAUCAAUAUAAUAUAUUCAGAGAGAAAAUAAAAUAAUAGGUUUAUAAAUUAUGAAAUAUGAUAAAGAAGAAAAAAUAGGAAAAAAAAAAAGUCUAAUUGAUGUAGACGAAAUCAAAGUGUCCAUAAAUAUUUUUUUAUAUUAAUAUAAUUUGUGACUUCAAAUUCUCUUUACUUGUGAAACUAGAAUGAAAAAUCAUAUUAUGUAAAAAUAAUCUAUUUCUUACUUCUCAUAUUUGAAAUCUUAAGAAGAAAAAUAUGCAUAAAAAAUUCAAAUACAGAUGAAAGAAGUACUAAUAAUUAAUUGAGUAAGCUCGAGCAAAAUGACAUUUAUCGAGGAUCUUCUUUUCAUUAUUUUACUUUAGUCUAUUCUUUUUAUUCCAUUAUUACUACUUUUCCCCCUAACUGUAUGAUCCGAGAAGUAACCUUUGUGAAUUGUAUACAUCUUACAAUUACAUAUUGAGAAGGUAAAAAUUAUAUAUUUAUCAUAUAAAUAACUUAAUUUAGAUAUUUGAUUAUUCAUAUUUUCUUAACAUCUAUUUAACAGUAUUGUAAUUGGGACAAAAUAUUUAACAAGUUCAUAUAUUUUUCUUUCAAUAAUAUUUUUUUCAAAAUAUUUAAAUCCAAAAAUUUCAUUUAAAUCAUUUGAGUUUAGAUUUAUCUGGAUGAUUGAUAUGUUGACUAUUUUUUAAUAGCUUAAUAACAUUACUAUCUAACUUACCAAAAACUUUUUGAAAAAAAAAACUGAAAAAAAAACACUCCUAUUAAAUUAUACAAUAGAAAAACUGACAACACUCUUAUGUAAAUUUAUAGAAAACAAAUUCAAAAACUCCAUGUGUGUUGUACAAAUGGAUCCCUCAAUGAUGAGUUUGUAUCUAGAUUAAUAGUCAUUAGGAUGAUAAAUUAAAACAAGAGAGAUUCAUGAUCUUAUUAAUUUUAAAACGUAAAUUUAUUAAUCUUUUAUGUUUAAUAAAAUUAUACUCACAUUUCUUAUUUUUUUUUAUAUAAAUAUCUAUUUCUUAUAUUUUUAAUAAAAUUUACUUUCUUCUUAUAUUUCAAUAAAAUAAUAUUCAUAUAUUUUAUUUUAUUUAAAAUUAUCAUAUCAAUUAAACUUAAAAAUUAUUAAAAGUAAGUGUUAAAUUCUAAAAUAUAAAAAUAGAGAUGUCACUUAUUCGGGUUUUUAACGAGUUUUUAAAAACACUGAGACCCAUUAUUAUAAGGAUGUUCUUCCCUUCACCUUCCUAAGUGCUCCUCCAUCUGCUCACUAUUUUUAUUUGUUUCAAAAAUAUUUUACAUCUCUCCACUAUUUUCUUUUAUUCCAAAAAUACUCUAUACUCCCCACUAUUCUCAACAAUCUUUCUCUUUCUCUUCCUACAUUAAUGGAGCAUUCACAUAGUUCAGAUUUGAAUUUGUGAUAUACUGCAAAAUAUAAGAUUCAGAUAAAACUUCAAUAUUAGUUUCUACCACUUCCAUUUUAUAUUAAUAGUAAAUAAUAAUAUAUUAUUAUUAUAUACUAACUUUAUAAUGACAAAAAUACUAAAUUAAUUCCAAAUCUUUAACUAAUAACUUUUCUUUUAUAUUUUAAGUAUUUAAUGAUAUUUUUAUAUUAUUUAUCUAAUAAAUUAAAUACUUUAUUCAAAUUAUUUGAGUCGAAUAUGUUUGUAAGUUAAAACAUAAUAUAAUGUUAAAAAUUAUAGAUAUUAAAUGUAAAAAAAAACACACAUAUAUAUAAACAUUUUCUGGAAAUUUAGAACAAAGUUUUAUCAUUUAUUAAGUAAUUUUAAGAAAAAAAAAUAUAUUGAACAACAAAAAUAAGAUCGAAUCAAACUUAUUUAAGGGAAUAUAUCAAAAGUUCAAAUUUGAGUCAUGUAAUUGCAUCAUUAAUGAGCUAUGUAAAUGCUUCAUUAAUACAGAGAAAAAGAGAAAAAUUGUUAAAGAUAAUGGAGAUGUGUAGAAUAUUUUUAGAAUAAAAAAAAUAAUAAAAAUAUAUAAAAUAUUUUUGAAAUAAAUAAAAAUAAUGGAAGGUGAAAGAGCACUUGGAAGAUGGUGGGAGCAACCAUCCAUUCUAAUUGUAUUAUUGUUAUGGAGCAAUAAAUUGUCAUACACAUGUCGGCCAAUUGCUUCCUUCACCUGUCAUUUUCUUUCUACAAUCUAUCAUUUUUGGAAUUUGUUUUCCAACACAUAAUAAAUACUUUUGAAUAUUUUUUUUUUCUGAAAAUCAAUCAUAACCUCUUUUUACUAUCAGAAGUUUUUUUAUGGAGUGGGAGAAGAAAUUUGAUAGAAGUGGAAGAAGCAACUGCGUGGAUUCAACAGUUCACUAUAAGUAUCAUUCUUAUAACUAUUGUGUUUUUUUUUUCAUAAUAAUAUAUAAUUAAAUAUUACAAUUUUAUUAUAGAUAGACCUAUUAUUUUUGUAAAUAAUGUUUUAAAAUUGUUAAAUUUAAAAAAAUUGUUAAAUUAAAAAAUAUUACUUAAAAGUAAAACUGAUUUAAAAAACAUUAUUUAAAAAGUAAAAGAGAAAACAAAAUAUGACAAAAGAAAAAGAAUUCUCUUUAUAUAAUAUAAUAGUAUAGAAGUCUAAACUAUAUCCAAAAAAAUCUUAAUAAUUUGUCUACUAUUGAAUUAUUCAAUUUUUAUAUAAUUUUGUUUUAAUAUAUAUAAACAUUUAAACAAAAUAAAAAAUUGAGUUAAUAUAACUUUAGGAAUAUGAUUUCAAAAGGAGGUGCGUGCAAUAUUUUCUUAAUAUGAUAUACCUUGUUUUUUUUAACAAUAAGUAUUUUGCUAAUGAUGAAUUUGUUGUAUGCUUCAAAGUUCUUAAAAUUAAACCAACCUAUUUUACCAAUUGAGCCAAGUAACUAAUUUGAAAAACCCCAAAAGAUAAAAGUAAAAAUAUAGCAUUAAAGUCAAUAAGAAUUAUCAAUUUAAAUUAAUGUAAAAAAUUCUAGAAUUGAAUAUUGUUUUUUUAAAAAAAAAUACAAAUUCUUAGGUAAAAUUAAUGUAAAAAACACAAAAAAAAAACCUAUGUUCGGAUUUAAAAUAUUAUAAAUUAUAAUCUUAUAUGUCCAGUAAUAUUUUAGCUCGGUAAAACUGUAGUUCCCAACUAAAUAAACAAACAAAAUAGUCAAAGUCAAUAAAAAAAUAAAACUAACUGUCAUUUAUGCAGAAAAAUAAAUAACAUUUUAAUAUAAAAAAAUGAAAAAUUCUCAAUUAAUUCGAACGCAAUUCUACGAGUUCCACUAUCCUCAAUUUUGAUUUUUUUUUUUACUUCAUUAUUGUACGCUUUUUCUUAAUUUGCUUUCGAAAAUUAUUUUUCUAAAACUAGGAAAAGACAUCAAUAGACUACUAUUCAACAAUACUUUUAAGCAUAUCUUCCUAAAUAAAAAACACUUUCUUAAAAAAGUUCUCUUUCAUAGAAAAACCACUUUCUUAAAACAAGUUCUUUUCAAAGAAAAGCCACUUUUAUAUUUUAAAACCUAUUAUCCCAACAAAAUUUUCAUUAAAAUAAUUUUAACAGUAAAGUAGUUUGUAUUCACAUUCAGAUUUAUUAGCACUUGGCAGUCCUUACACAGUUCUCAACAGUGCUACUUAAAAUUCACUUUAAAUACACAUAAAAAUUAAAACAAAUCUUAAUUAACACAAAAAUUCCCCUGCAUGAAAUAAUAAUAUGGGAAUCAGCACCAACAUAAUCAGCAAUGUAAGCUCAAUGGUGCCCUCAAAGUCCUUAUUCUCUCAAACUGGGAAAGGCCACAAAGCCAAACUGGAAUCAAACUGACAAAUUUAACCAAACUUUAUAGCAUUAACUAACAAAGUUAUUCAGUUUAAAACUGACUAAAUUGUAAAGAACCUACAACCACUUUUUAAUGUAACAUUCCAUGCAUAUUGUUCAUGACCAACUACAUUAAUUCCAUCAAAAGUCAAGAAAAUAUAUGGUUCCUUCAACCAGAAACAUCAAAAUGGUUCCUAAGUUCUUAAAACCUAAUUAUAUAUAUGCAUAUCAUGAAAAAUCACCCAUGAAACUGAUGCAUAAAUCAAUGGUUUUGGCUAUCACCAAAGAAAGCCAAUGCCUGUGACAAAACCCACCAUCACCAUAAAGACAUAACACUCCUAACUUUUUCUGUAAACUUUUAGAUUCAUGUGUUAGCACCAUAAUUAGCCCAACAUACUAAUAAAAGCUGAUCAAAAGUAAGACAGUUUACUAAGUUUGUUAAACAAAACAGUGAGUCCAUGUGCAAUAUGUCUAUAUUCAGUUGGAAUAUACAAUAUUGAAAGAUACUUAAGAUCACAUAGAGCGAUACAGUAGUUAAAGUUGAAGUUCCAAUAUUAGUAUAUUUUAGUGAGAAAUAACCACAUAACCAUUUGAUCUAUUCUACGCACCUUGAAUUCCAAAGGUGGGGAGUGGUUGGAAAGAACAGUCUCCAUAUUCUGUGGAGUUCUAUACAAAGAAUCAGAUGUAUGAAGUUGGUGCUGAGUGGAAGAAGCCUUUCUCUUACUUACAACUAGGGUUCCAGUGAGUGAGUUCAGUGGGUGUGGAAAUGGUGGUUAAUAAAGAUGAUAAGGUAGCAUGACGUGUGUGGUUGAUUGCUUAGUUCAACAUAAGAACUGAUAGGGUAGAUGCUGUGUGUGGUUGAGAUUCAUAUCACAGAUUUCCAGGAACGUGCUCUUAAAUUAUUGAAAAUCUAUGAUGCUAGGUGAUGGAUGAGUGUGUGGUGCAGACCACACCCAAUAAAGUCUGUUCUCUGCUUUAGAGCAACUUCAUUGGUAAUGUAAGGACACAUGUAUUGCAAUUUUCAUGCAUUUCAGCCAGAUUAAUACUAUCUCACCCCUGAUUUUGGAAAGUGACUCACCCCAAUGACACAGUUUUCAAAUAAACAUCAUUACUAGUACAUUAUUGCCAUUCUUAUAUCAUACAUUUUUCAAAUAAACAUUAUUGUUCAUCGAUUAUUAUCAUGCAGUAACCAUCACUGUUCAUAGAAUAUUAUGCUAUCAUGCAGCUUUAAAAUAAUCAUCACUGUAUAUAGAUCAUGCCAACAGUCUUGAUAUAAAAACGUUGUUUAUAGUUUAUGCCAUUUUAAAACAAACAUCAUCUAUCAAUAAACAUUAUUAUGUAUAAUGAAGUAGAAGAAGCUUUCAAACCAUUUAUUAAAAAGAGAAGAAUCUGACCAAGAUAUAUGAUAAAUGACAAACCUGGUAGUCACAUCUGUUAUUUUGCUCCAUCUGAAAGUUGACACGUUAGAGCGAGAGAUCAAACGUGUAAACGUAAGCCUUCAAUAAUUGUGAUAGAAAUUGGUACCGAAGGCCAAUGAAAUCAAUACAAGUGGUGCAAUGCAAUGAUGAAUGUGACUUAUCAUGUCAGUUAGUGUUUUUGUUUUUUUAUUAUCAAAGUGAAUAUGACUUAUCAUUGUAUUGCACCAUAAAAAUGAGCAAUGCAACUGCAAUUUAAGACUCUCACGCACAUGGUGACCACAGUUGCACUUAGCACAGUAUUUUUCAGCAAUUUUUCUUACCAUAUGAGCAAUGCAACUGCAAUUUAAGACCUUGUCGUUAACGAUAGAGACAAAUUUUGUUAGGUAAACAAAUACACCUACCCUGGUUAACUAUGUAGUGUGGGUCAAAUUGUGUACGACUAAGAAGUCUACAAGUUAUAUCAAAAUAAGAUAUACAAAAUUCUCCAUCCUAUGAAGCUUUUGGUUCAUUGUCUUUCAUUCUUAAAUGAAUAUUCCUCAUUGUAAAACUUAUGUUCCCAAAUACUCAUUCCAAUAUCAAAAGAGAAAGAAAGAUUCAUUGAAGUGAGAGUGAAAUCAAGAGUUUAACUUCCUAUAUCCUAUUACACUACUCAUCCCAAAAUGAAAGAAGUUGAAUGAAGAUAUUUAAAGGAUGAGUAAGAAUCAAACUAAAGAGUGCAAAUUAUAAAAUUCUUGGACCACCUUCAAUCUUUUUCACAUAAUGGACUUUCUGGAAAGCUCAAUAAUGAGAGGUGAUAGAUUGGAUCCUCCAAGGCCUGGUCCAUUCCAGCUUGUCCCGGCCCAUUUCUUCUGUUGAUACAAAAUCCAUUAACAUUUCGGAGGGCAUACAAACGGCCCAUAUGUAACUGGGCCUUAAGAUCAUAGUACAUAUCAAAACUAGUAAGAGCUAACCCUAUGUAUCAAUAUGUGAAGUGGGUGAUACUCAGCACUGCAGUUAAAUCUGUAAUUUUCAUCAUUUUUCUUAGCAAAAGAACAAUGCAACUCCAAGUUAAGAUCUUCUGCCCUAAGCAUUAAAAGACAACAUUUGUUUGGAACAUACAUAUGGGCAUGUUUGAGUAGUUAGCAGUUUGUAGAUUGAGCAGAACCAUAGAGCACAUGUUUCUCUAUAUGAACAAGGAAGUCUAAAACUUGCAAGUUGUAUCAAAGGAACAUGAAAUCUGGACUAGACCAGCCAAAGCCCAGUGCAUACCAUAUAAAGGAAGCAUUACAGGAGAGGAAAACAAGGUAUCCGAAGAGAAAGGAACUAUCAGAAGAACCAGAGUCAAAUUGGUGGUGAAGGAAGUUGUUGAUUGUUUUCCUGCUAAUUCACCCAAAAAACAAGUAUGAACAACAGUGAUAAAAAAAACCUGGACUAGAAAGGUGUCAUUCGAGAUAAGUGGCCUGCAUUCCACACCUCAGUACCAUGCUGACCAGCUGAAACCAAUUUACAAGAUCAUAAAAUAUCCAUCCAAUGAUCAAGCAGAAGUGCAACAGAAAAACAAACAGAGAAUAAAGAACAAGAAAGAAAGUUGAAGCUAGCUCUGAUCUUCUACGGAAAGGUUUCAAAACAAGGUCUGCUGCAUAGACAGGAGAUCCACACACAUAAAUAAGGAGUAAACACCAGCAUUCCUCUUCUGCACAUCCAAAGUACUAUCACUGAAUGUACACUCUUAUCAUAAGAGCAAAAAAAGGAGGCAAGAUGCAAAAGAUUAACUUUUGAGAGGCAGCAAGGAAGGCUGAAGGUAUAGUGAAAAGAGUACGAAUGAAAGAUCAAAAGGGUGUGUGAGAAGAAGUUAAAAAUGCACUGAGAGUGAAGACAGCAAAAUGGUUGAAUGAGAUUAAUUUAUUAUUAGAAAAGCUUCAAGUAGUUCCCUACAGCUGUAACGUGUGUUGUACACAUGCAUAAGAUUUGAAGCUUUCGUUUUAGGAUCCACGGCAGCAUGCGUUGUCAAGCAAGUUGAGUUGAAAUUGGAGUUGUCGAGAGCGUACGAAAGGAUAAGAUAUCUUUGAAGCGAAUCUUCCCGAGCCAAGUAAAUGGCGUCAUCAAUCAUCAACUUCCAGAGCCACAACUUCUUUUCUUUUUCUUUCACUUCAAAUAAAUACAACACCUCAAUCAUUACAACACCUGCAACAAAAAUACCAUUCCUACACCUUUCAUCACAGAAAUGAUACAUAUUUUACGCUCUUCAUUCAAUUUUAACUCUUUUUUAAACUUAAACACAUCUUAUUUAUCAUAAUUAAGAGAAUUAUUAUUCCUUAUUUUACAUUCAUCUUAUAUUAGUUACAAAAAUAUUAUUAUUUUAUAUAUGUGAGGACUAGUAAAUAAAGUAAUAAAAC